UCCAAUUCCCUUAUCAGAAGAGAACACAGACAACUCACUAUGGAGUUCUUGCUUGGCUGGGUUUUCCUUGUUGCUCUUUUAAAAGGUGUCCAGUCUGAGGUGCAGCUGGUGGAGACUGGGGGAGACCUGGUGAAACCUGGGGGGUCCCUGAGACUCUCCUGUGCAGCCUCUGGAUUCACCUUCAGUAGCUACUACAUGAGCUGGGUCCACCAGGCUCCAGGCAAGGGGCUGCAGUGGGUCGCAUGGAUUAGCUAUGAUGCAAGUAGCACAAGCUACACAGACUCUGUGAAGGGCCGAUUCACCAUCUCCAGAGACAAUGGCAAGAACACGCUGUAUCUGCAGAUGAACAGCCUGAGAGCCGAGGACACGGCCGUGUAUUACUGUGCAACAGAGGGCCCUUGGCAAUGUGACUACUUUGAAUACUGGGGCCAGGGGACCCUGGUCACCGUGUCCUCAGAGAACCCAUCCCCUCCAAACCUCUUCCCCCUCAUCACCUGUGAGAGCUUCCCAUCUGAUGAGACCCUGGUGGCCAUGGGCUGCCUGGCCCGGGACUUCCUGCCCAACUCCAUCACCUUCUCCUGGAACUAUCAGAACAGCAGUGAGGUCGGCAACCAGGACAUCAAGAAUUUCCCUUCGGUUCUGAGAGAGGGCAAGUACGUGGCUACCUCCCAGGUGUUCCUGCCCUCCGUGGACAUCCUGCAGGGCUCUGAUGAGUACCUCACAUGCAAGGUCAAACACUCCAACGGUGACAAAUCUGUGCAAGUGCGCCUCCCAGGAGUGAAUGGAGAGCUGUCCCCCAACGUGACUGUCUUCAUCCCGCCCCGCGAUGCCUUCUCUGGCAACAGCCAGCGCACGUCCCAACUCCUCUGCCAGGCCAGAGGUUUCAGCCCCAAGCAGAUCUCCGUGUCCUGGUUUCGUGAUGGAAAGCAGAUCGAGUCCGGCAUCGACACCGGCAAGGUGGAGGCUGAGGACAAAGUGUCCGGGGCUGUGACCUACAGGGUCCUCAGCAUGCUGACCAUCACCGAGAGCGCCUGGCUCAGCCAGAGCGUGUUCACCUGCCAAGUGGAGCACAACGGAGUGAUCUCUGAGAAGAACGUGUCCUCCACGUGCACCCCCAAUUCACCCGUCAGCAUCAGCAUCUUCACCAUCCCCCCCUCCUUUGCUAGCAUCUUCCUCACCAAGUCGGCCAAGCUGUCCUGCCUGGUCACAAACCUGGCCACCUACGACAGCCUGACCAUCUCCUGGACCCGCCAGAAUGGCGAGCCUCUGAAAACCCACACCAACAUCUCUGAGAGCCACCCCAACAUCACCUUCAGUGCCACGGGGGAGGCCACGGUUUGUGUGGAGGACUGGGAGUCAGGAGAACAGUUCACCUGCACGGUCACCCACACGGAUCUGCCCUCGCCUCUGAAGAAGACCAUCUCCAGGCCCAAGGAGGUUGCCAAGCACAUGCCAGCUGUGUAUGUCCUGCCACCAAGCCGGGAGCAGCUCAGCCUGCGGGAGUCGGCCUCGGUUACCUGCCUGGUGAAGGGCUUCUCUCCCCCAGACGUGUUUGUGCAGUGGCUGCAGAAGGGGCAGCCCAUGUCCCCCGACAGCUACGUGACCAGCGCCCCGACGCCCGAGCCGCAAGCCCACGGCCUCUACUUUGUCCACAGCACCCUGACCGUGAGCGAGGAGGACUGGAGCGCUGGGGAGACCUACACCUGUGUUGUAGGCCAUGAGGCCCUGCCCCACAUGGUGACCGAGAGGAGCGUGGACAAGUCCACCGGGGGGGAGGUGAGUGCCGAUGAGGAAGGCUUCGAGAACCUGAACACCAUGGCGUCUACCUUCAUUGUCCUCUUCCUCCUCAGCGUCUUCUAUAGCACAACAGUGACACUGUUCAAGGUGAAAUGACCGGCCAGCCAAGAACAUCAGAGGCCCGGGACGUGUGCCCAGGGGGCAGCCCGCGGAGCCCGUCAGCUGGUCCUCAGAUCCGCCCCACAUCACCCCCUCCCGCUUCCAGCUCCGAGACGCGGCCGCGUGUCUUCGAGUCCGCUCCGAGCGUUGUUUUGCAAUGUACACGCAUGUCACCUUCAA
Molecule: non-coding RNA, 2076 nt
Organism: Leptonychotes weddellii (Weddell seal)
Lineage: Eukaryota; Metazoa; Chordata; Mammalia; Carnivora; Phocidae
Source: the annotation of a RefSeq genome assembly